RNAcentral lists this ribosomal RNA (54 nucleotides) under Propionibacterium cyclohexanicum. The record is from RNAcentral. Lineage: Bacteria; Bacillati; Actinomycetota; Actinomycetes; Propionibacteriales; Propionibacteriaceae.
AACGCCGAUGGUACUGCAGGGGGAACCCUGUGGGAGACUAGGACGCCGCCACAC